AGGCAAAAUCAUCCUGACACCAACACAAAAGCAACUUACAAACGGGGAGCUUCCUAACACCAUCCCGACGCCAUUGCUUCUUCGUUUUCAUCCACCUCCUCCCUUUAGGUUAGAAGGGAGGGGUCUCCUCUUCGGGUUAGAAGAGGAGCUUCUUUCGACCAUCCACAGCCCUUCAUCGUCAUCCAGUAGCCCUCUUUCCUCUCCUCUUCGGGUUAGAAGAGGGGAGGACAGCUUCUGUCACUUCUAGUAGUUCCUUCUUCCACACCGGUGGUUCCAUCCACCUCUCCACUCUACUCUUCGGGUUAGAAGAGAAGAGGGCAGCCCCGUCACCACCUUUUGAGCUUCACACUCCCCUUUUCUUUGGGUUAGAAGAGGAGGAGAGUUUGUCAUUCUCUGACAGCCCUCUUCUCUACGGGUUCUUUAUUUGAUAUCCGUCGGCAUUCGCUCAUUCCAUCUAAUGAUCAGGGAGAAUCUUCUUUCGUCCGCAAGUUUGAGUGAUGUGCUUUUGGGUUAUCUUUUUUUGUGUUGGGUUGUUUAUUCAUGUUGAUUGUUGAAUUGUGUUUGAGUUGAAUUGUAGUGAAGUACUAAUUCCCCCAUGUUAAGAUUGCAUGUACUUAGUUUACUUUGAUUCAUGCAUGUUAAGUGUUCGAUGAAUUUUCCCAAUCACUUGUGUUUCUUCAUGUGUUGCUGUUAGGUUAGUUUAAUUAUUACUUGUCUUCUCUCUUUCGAUUACUUUAAGUUCUUGAUUUUAUUAUGAUGCAAUUAGAUUAGAUUAGUGUAGGUUUCGUUAAUGCUUUACUUUAUGUUUCUUUUAAUUCUCUUGCAAGUGUAGUUUAGUUAGGUUAGAUUUUAUUAAUUGCAUUGUCUUUCAUUUAUUAGGGGUAGUUUCAUACUUGCAUUAUUUUUCAUUUCUCACUAAUUAUGUGGUUUGUAUAGUUGUCAUUGGUUUGUACAUAGUUGCCAUAAUGGCGAAGAACAUGCUUGCCAACGAAGGCUUUGGCUCAUUUUACAAUGUUUGCUUCUGCUUGAUCAUCUCUUUUGGUGGAAGGUGUUGCCGAGAUAGGUAUGGUGGAAUUAGGCGAUCUUCAAUUGUCUUCUUACCUUGCAGAAACUACAUUCGGAGGAUAGUCAUACUUUUGGAAUGGUACCUUUAUAUAACUUAUAUUUUUUUUGCUAACAAGAUGUUGAUUGAAAUUCUUUUAUUCAAGGUAAAAAUCAUUUAGGUUUGCUUAUAUGAUACUUGAUAGUACCAAUUACCUAGCACUGCAUAUUGCUUCAUUUAACAUCAAAUCAAAUAGCAUCAUUGCUCAUCUUGCCGCAUUAGUUUCUUUUUGUUUUGGGUAUGAGUGGCUAUGAACAUGCUGCGCAAAUAUUAUUACAUCCUCUAUUUGGUUAUUGUGUUAAAUAAUGCCACUAGUGGGUUCCCUCUAACUCUUAAUUGUCAUUGUUUAUGGCUUGUAGGCAGGAUUGCCAACCAGGCUACGUCAAUGGUGAUCCAGUGUUCCAUUUAUUACUUUUGGCAUCAUAUUCACUUGCGGAAUUAUUUAUCUGGUCUAUUUGUUGGUUGGUUAUGACUCCUUUAGUCAGAUAUGAAUCUCACCUAUAGAAAUACACCGCAUAAAAGAUAAUAUAAUGAAUUACUCUAAGAUUCUUACAUCUGCUAAAGAUACAUUGCUAUAAUUUAAUAUCUGCUAGAUAAUGCCAAAACACUAAGAAUAUGUCAAUGGUAAUUUGUAAUAUUGUAUUUCUGCUAUAACUUUAUCAAGUGGCAUGUCAUCUUACUAGUUAAUUUAUUUUCAUAAAACAUAAAUUUCAUUUUAGCUCUUAAAUCCCUAACAUUUUUUCUUAUAUAUCUUGCAGUUUAGAGGAUGUAUACAUCUGCUCUUUUUCAUGGAUCUUUGCUCCAUGUUAUAUUCAAUAUGUUAACUUUGGUAGCCUUAGGCACUGAAUUGGAAUGAAUAAUGGGCUCUGUUCAACUUCUAUAUUUGAUGCUCUUGCAUGAUCCUAUAUGCAACGAUUAUCAUGGAAACAAGUUUGAGCGGCGUUCAAUCUAGAAGAUGAAUAUGGAAAGAAACUGAAUGUGGGAUUUUUUUUUUUGCCAAGAAUGAUACUCAUAUAUUUCUGAGAAGAUGUAAUAUUACUAGAAAGAUUCAAUCCAAGAAGCAAGAUAUGUUAGAACAAAUAUACAUAUCUAGUAUGUUGGGUUUUUUGCUUUUAUAUAGACUUAAAAUGGAUCCAAAAGUUUGUGAAUUAUAUCUAUAUAUUUUCUAUUUGAAUUGUAUAAUA
Zingiber officinale is the source of this 2286-nucleotide RNA transcript. RefSeq lists it as uncharacterized. Lineage: Eukaryota; Viridiplantae; Streptophyta; Magnoliopsida; Zingiberales; Zingiberaceae. The record is from RefSeq and is a predicted model, not a curated record. The transcript is spliced from 3 exons.